CCGGUUAAUACUGGUGACUGGACACUAAAAAUCCAGUUACCACAGGCACUCGUGCCAGCCGGGGGUAUAGUUUGAGCAGGCAUUGUCCCCCACCACAAAUUUCUCUGGAGCUCUGCUUAGCUGUCAGGGAGGGAAGAAGCUCCCUCAGUCCCUCUCCUCCGCUGAGGCUGGAAGGCAGCUCCAGGACAUUUCCUGAGUCCUAGUGCCGGUAACCAUCAUCUUCUAUGUGUGCUGGGUCCCGUUUCUGGACAACUGGGAAGUGGCCAGACAAAGGAAUGCAGUUCCUCUUGAAUGAGGGGCUGGACUGGGGCUGCAGUUUGCCACUGUGGUGAGAAGCCAGACGAAGGACUGCUGGUUCCCUCAGAAGGGGAGAGACAACAGAGUUGGGGUACAGCUGGAGGGCCUGGCCCUGAAGAGGAUGCUGUGCUCCAGGAGCGCUGCAGAUCCCCACAGACAGUGGAGAAGCAGUGACGGAGAGUGAGACACCACAAGAGGAUGCUGCCCUGCUGAUGGACAGAACUAAUUCCCAGAGCAACCAGCAGGAGGCACCAUGGUGGCGCCUUUGCAGAAGAAGAGAAAAGAGGCACCAUGCUAGGAAGAGGAUAAUCAAUCCCAAAAGAUACAAACUGGCCAAUCUGCCAUUAGGAGAGAGCAAUACAUAUCCCCAUUUAUUCUGCAGAAAAGCUGGCUCCUGGGCUCAGCCAAAUGGGAUAAUUCCAUUCUUCUUGGAGGUUAUUAAAUUAAGAUAAGAUGGAAAUGAUGAAGCAGAAAAAGGAGGCGGCGAUUUGUUUAAGUUGCACAGACUCCACUCCAAGUCCAGUGCCUUCUCCACUGGACCACACUUCAGAGGUCUCAAGUUCUGGGUCUCCUCCUCCUUCCAGCCCUCACCCAUUCUCGCCAAAUGAACUCAAAGGGACAGAUCUUCAGCUAAUGUAAAUCAGGGUUGCUCUGUUGACUUCAAUGGAAUUAUACUGAUUAUGCCAUCUGAGAAUCUUGUUUUGGGCCAUCAUUGGAAAGCCAUCAGAAAUAUACUAGCCAGGCAAUUUAUGGGUGGUAUAGAUAACUUAGAAUGCCAACAACAUCCUCUGCUUUCACAGAAACAUCUGGGGCAAGCUUUUUAUUUCAUUGUGUCAUUUCCUAGAAGGCUACUGGAGUACUUUGACACAAACUUUGCAGAGAUUAUGUAUGACAAAUUUAAUAGAUUAGAUUUUUGCAGAGUCCAAUCAGUUGAUUGAAUUAUUUAAAACCCUCUAGUCAGUCUGCUUAGCUGUCCCAAAAUCUGUUCUUCUCUUUGUCCCAUUUUCUAUUUAAGCCACUUCACAGUGUGGCUGCCAUUUUUUUGGUCAAAAUAAUUUUUAAGCUGUUGAAAAUGCUGUUUUUCUUCAUUGUUACAUCUGAUACCUAUUGACAAAAACACAGCAGAUCAGCUAUAGGGAGCUCAGCCAACUUUAACAUAAGACGCCUGUGUUGCUAUAAUUGGAAUGAUGAAAAGCAGUUUUCCCCUCUCUGCCCUAUGGGCUACUGAUGUUUCUAUCCUUAGAAAGGUCAACUGCUUUCUACAAGAGCAUAAAUGAAACUUCCAACUGCACUCUACAGAGCAAAGCUUUGGCCCCAUAACUCACAUUGUAAAAUCUGAUACAAAUGCAAAUCUGUUGUCCUGGGGGAGCCAUGGAUACUGUGAAAAAGUCAAGUAAUUUCAUUCCAUUUUCCCCACUGUCACAGCAAGGACAAAAACUCAUGCCAACAAAAUUAAUUUAUUCCUGUGAUGAAGAUAGUAACAGGAAGAGAAAAAUGGUAGGGAAAACAAAUGUAACCUUAUGACAUUUCUAACACAGUGACAAGAAUAAAAAAGGCCUGUUUUUAAUAGCAGCCCAUCACAUCAUCCUGUUAUUGUCAGAGCUGACAUUAUUUAUUCUACAUAAGUCACCACUCUCAAGUCUGCAAAAAAGCCAGAGUUACAGAAAGGAGGACAAAUGUGACACAGACUAAAAUACACUAAAAAAGUCUUGUGAGAGUCCAAGGACGGACCAGUGUAUGGUUUCUCCACCAAUGCUAAAAAAUAAAAUUGAACCAAAAAUAUACAAAGACCACUAAUGAUGUGGAUGUAAUGAGCUCACCCCAGUGCCGUGAGGUUCAGUGGGAUGAAUCUUUGUCACCCUCCAGAAGCCUGUUCACUCAGUUUAAGAGAGAGAGAGGAAGGCAUGUUUUUGUCCAUUCAUUGACAGGACUAUAAUACAGAAUUAAGGCUGACAUCAGCCGUUUCUUCACACUCUUGUUUUGUCAUAGAGCAGCAAUCCUGUGGCACAUGCACCAGGCACAGUCUGGAGCACAUCAUAGAGGAUUGAGACACUUCGUAGGACCAACUUCAACCCCUAAUAACUCUCCCAAUAUUGCUUCCCCAAAGUGGUUGUGGAUGCCAGACACUAGCUGAAAUCAAACACAACUAAGCAAUAUCAACUUAGGACAGAUCUGUGACAUCAUUUGGGCCUCAGAUGCAUGCAAAAAUGUUACAAGAACAGGAAAAUUUUACUGACAUGUUCUUUUAUUAAAAAGGUACUGAUUCUCAGGAACCCCUUGACCAAACGACACUAAUUUUGAACUAUUAAACUUACCACAUAUUUCAACAACACACCCGAAUGCUCAGGGCAAUCUGAGCAUGCAUGUAGAUUUUAGAGUCCUUAGAAAAAUCAGCUGUUAAACAAUAAACUCCAGUCAGUCUUGACUUGUGCUUAUCCAUAAUACAGGGUGCUGCAAGAUGAAAAAAAUUGAGGACAGUGGUUCUCAAGUUAGGGUCCCUAGACCACUGAUGGACUGCAAAGUAGUAUCUUUCAAAACUGCAAGGAAUGCUCAGGAAAAACAAGAGGCUGGUCCACCAUCUAGAACAUGUCAAUUGUUCACGCAUCCAUCUUCAAGCAAAGCCUCCUCCAGGCCUGCCACAGCUCCCUUGUGAACCUCUGCCUGUUUGGGUUGCUUCACAGAGAUUUAAGUUCUUUAUUAAUCAGUCCCAUUCAUUAUUUCACAUACCUUUGCUGUAAAUUUAACUCAUCUGCUGAGGUCACCAACAUUGUAGGGGGCAGCAAACACAUACGAGAACAGAGUCAAACUGGAAAGAGACCCUUCAGACAUUUUUGCAUUAAGGGGCUGUAAGCAAGGAGCAGAGAUUCAGGACAGUCACUACAGGGGACAAUAUCAAGGUAUCCCAUGGAAAAUGAAUUAUGCAGGAAGCAAUAGAUGGAGUGUCCAAGUUCAAUACAAAGACAAUGAAAAAACCCAUCUGAGCUAAGCUAGAAAAACCCACUGACUCCCUAGCUUCCAUUCCAGCACUGGAAUAUGUGUAAAUAAAACAAGCUGCACAGAGAAUACAUCCAGACUCCAUGUCACUGGUUUCUCCAACAGGAAAGUUACAUGCAAGACCCUACAGCUACUACCACUUGGCAGAGGGGUAACAAUAGAAAGUCAGUGAUGGGAUUCAAGGACAGCACAGGCUGGAAUGACAAGGGCAGGCAGAGAAAGGAUGUGGGUGCAUUUACAAACCAGCCUUUUUUAAAAUGACACACACAAAGUCAGACACAAGGUGGGUGAGGUAACAUCUUUUAUUGGACCAACUUCUGUCAGUGAGAAAGACAAACUUUCAAGCUUAUGUGGUGUUCUUCAGGUCUGGAAAACUAAAGCUAUGUCUACACUACCACUUUGGCAAUCAGGGUUGUGGAAAAAAAAAAUAUUCCCCUGAAUGUCAUAAGUUUCAACAACUGAAGCGCCGAUGUGGACAGUGCUAUGCUGGCAGGAGACACUCUCCUGCCAGCAUAGCUGCUGUCACUCGCUGGAGGUGGUUUCAUUAUGUUGACUGAAGAGCUAAUUACAUGCUGUCUGUGGAAAAGGCAUAAUAAAAGAUAUUCAUUAUAAGAAAUUAAACAAACUACACUUAUCUUAGAGGAAAAGCCUACUUAUAUUGUAGAUGUAUCAAAACUGGAGCCUUGUCAGAGACCCUUCAAAUUUCAAGAGGGGUAGAGUGGCCAAUUUUUAUAUUGUUUCAUUCAAGUAAGUUUCCCCAUAACCAACACGUCCCAUACUUCACAAUUUAAAUUGUCCAACAUGGGAAGAGAAGGACUGACUCUGGGAUGCAAUAAAACGUCUGAGGGCAACCAACAGCAAGUGCAGAAGAUCAGCUUGUCAUGGGUGGACAGUAGCUGCACUAAGGAAAGCAAGAGGUAUUAAUUGGUACAGCAGAGACUCAAGAUCAGGCUGACUAUAUUGCCAGGAUGGCAAGUAAGCCAUGGCUAGAGUAAAAUAUGUAAUUCACUGUUACAAGAUCAGUACCAACUAUCCUGGGAGAGAUUUCAGGUACUUCAGACCCAGUACAAAUAAAUGAGGUCCUUCCCCAAAAAUGCAUUCUAAUAGGCCAAGACUUAUGAAGAUGCACUUGUGAGGACAGGUAGAAUCAGAGCACUGCCAAUCACAUAGGAUUUAUAAUUUCAUGCCUUCAGCAGUUACAACAGGCCAUCUUGUCUAAUUUGAUAUCAGCAUGAAGAAAUUGCAAAUGGUGACCAGGCAUCAACAGACAAGCAACAUGUAUUCAUUUCCCAACACCCCUUAGGAAAAAAAAUUACUCCCUGUUUUACUGAGACUAACAAACACAUUCCUCGCUUUAAUAAUGUGCCAAGUGAACUCUGAAUGGUGUCAGCAGCACCUUGGCUGCUGCUGUCUUAUUACAUUCAAAUAAUAUUCAGAAAUUCACUUAGGAAAGUUUAAGAAAUCGUCUCUCAAAAUAUCUAAUACGUGUACUGGCAUUUUUGACAUUACCUUUUUUAAAUUUCCUUUGUAUCUACUUUUAAGCAUCGAUCUUAGAGCAGGAGUCUCAAAGUCCUGGCCCACGGGCCAUCUGCAGCCCAAGAACCUCCCCACUGCGGCCCGUGGAAGAGAGAUCAAUGCAGCCAUGCUGCCAAAAAUGUCUGCUGCUGGCACCGCCCCCCACAGCUCCCAUUGGCUGGGGGAGAGGGACGAAGGUACCAUCACUAGUCGCUAGACAGAGUCAGCCAUGGAGGCCACAUCACUCCCCCCCAC
Non-coding RNA from Caretta caretta (loggerhead turtle), 5061 nucleotides. Lineage: Eukaryota; Metazoa; Chordata; Testudines; Cheloniidae. The record is from RefSeq and is a predicted model, not a curated record.